UACGGGGGGGGCAAGCGUUGUUCGGAAUUACUGGGCGUAAAGGGCUUGUAGGUGGCCAACUAAGUCAGACGUGAAAUCCCUCGGCUUAACCGGGGAACUGCGUCUGAUACUGGAUGGCUUGAGUGUGGGAGAGGGAUGCGGAAUUCCAGGUGUAGCGGUGAAAUGCGUAGAUAUCAUGAGGAAUACCAGAGGCGAAGGCGGCUACCUGGACAAUUGCUGACGCUCAGGCAACGAAAGCGUGGGGAGCAAAAGGG
RNAcentral lists this ribosomal RNA (254 nucleotides) under uncultured bacterium. Its description in RNAcentral is "partial 16S ribosomal RNA". It matches the Rfam family "Bacterial small subunit ribosomal RNA", at positions 524 to 776 of the family's 1533-position model. The record is from RNAcentral.